Long non-coding RNA from Colius striatus (speckled mousebird), 660 nucleotides. RefSeq lists it as uncharacterized. Lineage: Eukaryota; Metazoa; Chordata; Aves; Coliiformes; Coliidae. The record is from RefSeq and is a predicted model, not a curated record. The transcript has 3 exons.
GCUGGUUUUGACCAUUGUACAGUGUGCUACACUCCCAGAAAGCCUGAGUUUCUAGGACCUGUAAAAUGUGCUGUGAUCGAAGCCGGAAGUUUAUCACCAUCCCUUGAAACAGCACAAGCUGGCACUGGAAAACAAACAACUUCUCUGGUGGUGGUGGAAGGAGUUGAGAGAGAGAAGUGACCAUGCAGACCCCAACGUCAGUGAUGGAAGAGAGGAGGAGGUGUGCUGGAGCAGAGACUCCUCUGCAUCCUGUGGAGAGGACUGGUGAAGCUGAGAUUUGUUUGCAUUUCAUUGAAGACCCUGUGCCAGGGACUAUGCCCAGAGGAGGCCAUGUCCUGUGGGAGGGAUCCUGUAUCUGCAGAAGCCAUAGCUGCUGGGAAGAACCCACACCAGAGAGGUUCGUUAAGGACUGUGUCCCUAGUGAGGGACCCAAUAUUGGAGUGGGGAAGUAUGUGAAGAGUCAGCCUCCUCUGAGAAGUGGCAGAGAUAUCUGAGACUGACCACAUCCCCCGUUCUCUACCCCCCUGAGCCGUUGAGGGGGGAGGAGGUAGAGAUAUCGGGAGCAGUGAGCUGGGCCCAGGAAGAAAGGAGGGAUGGGGGAGGGAGAUCUUAAAGUGCUGGUUGUAAUUUUCUCAUCAUCUUGCUCUCUUUUUGCUUUUU